GUCUACGGCCAUGCCACCCUGAACAAGCAAGAUCCUAUCUGAUUUCGGAAGCUAAGCAGGGUCAGGCCUGGUUAGUACUUGGAUGGGUGACCACCUAGAAAGACCAGAUGCUGUAGGCA
RNAcentral lists this ribosomal RNA (119 nucleotides) under Pteropus alecto (black flying fox). The record is from RNAcentral. Lineage: Eukaryota; Metazoa; Chordata; Mammalia; Chiroptera; Pteropodidae.